Molecule: ribosomal RNA, 231 nt
Filed under: Enterobacter sp. EC_50
Lineage: Bacteria; Pseudomonadati; Pseudomonadota; Gammaproteobacteria; Enterobacterales; Enterobacteriaceae
Also listed under: 1 other name
Description: partial 16S ribosomal RNA
Rfam family: Bacterial small subunit ribosomal RNA
Source: RNAcentral
GAAUAUUGCACAAUGGGCGCAAGCCUGAUGCAGCCAUGCCGCGUGUAUGAAGAAGGCCUUCGGGUUGUAAAGUACUUUCAGCGGGGAGGAAGGUGUUGAGGUUAAUAACCUCAGCAAUUGACGUUACCCGCAGAAGAAGCACCGGCUAACUCCGUGCCAGCAGCCGCGGUAAUACGGAGGGUGCAAGCGUUAAUCGGAAUUACUGGGCGUAAAGCGCACGCAGGCGGUCUG